This 477-nucleotide long non-coding RNA is filed under the name Homo sapiens (human). Its description in RNAcentral is "non-protein coding lnc-TOMM20-6:1". The record is from RNAcentral. Lineage: Eukaryota; Metazoa; Chordata; Mammalia; Primates; Hominidae.
CGGUCGGCUGGCGUCCCUCUUCAGUUCUCUGGAGCCCCAGAUUCAACCCGUGUACGUGCCUGUGCCUAAAGUAAGUCACUGGGCUUUCUUCCCGAAUAGCUCGUUAGAACCACUUACAUACAAAGCAAUCUUCUUACCUACCGCGUGAAGCGUGAUUUCUAAAGGGGGCAGACAGGAUUCAUUUUAAGUAACCUUUCAUGACUCUUACAUACCAGUGAGAGAGAAGAGAUUCUCAUUUAGAAAGACUGAAUUAUGGCUUAGGGUCAGAAUUCUAGAAGUAUGGGGUCUCAAAUAUAACUUCAAACUUUUAAAAAGCAAACCAUCAAAAAAACGAAACGGAAUGAGGAGGAAGAAAGUACAUCCCAGAUUGAAAGACCACUUUCGCAAGAACCUGCCAAAAAAGUGAAAGCGAAGAAGAAACACACUAACGCAGAAAAAAAGUUGGCAGACAGGGAAAGCGCUCUAGCGAGUGCUGAU